UACAGAGUAGCUCAAGUAGUAGAGCGCUUGCCUUGCAAGCAAGAGGUUGAAGGUGAAAGGCCUUCCUCUGCGG
RNAcentral lists this transfer RNA (73 nucleotides) under Polycladospora coralii. Its description in RNAcentral is "tRNA-Ala". It matches the Rfam family "tRNA". Rfam says of the family: Transfer RNA (tRNA) molecules are approximately 80 nucleotides in length. Their secondary structure includes four short double-helical elements and three loops (D, anti-codon, and T loops). The record is from RNAcentral. Lineage: Bacteria; Bacillati; Bacillota; Bacilli; Caryophanales; Thermoactinomycetaceae.